Non-coding RNA from Taeniopygia guttata (zebra finch), 14502 nucleotides. NCBI's taxonomy places the organism in Eukaryota, Metazoa, Chordata, Aves, Passeriformes, Estrildidae. The record is from RefSeq and is a predicted model, not a curated record.
UUAAUGUAUUUUAGCAUAGUUAUAAUAAAGAAACAAUUCAUGAGUCAGACAUCAUCAUUCCUUCCCAUUGGGUUCACCUGCAUUUACAACACAUUUAUAUGUUUUCUAUGUGAUAGCUCCUUGGUUUUUGUUCUCCCUUCCUCCCUUCUCUAGGCAAAGUACCUCAUAAAUGCUUCCAAAUGGAGAGGUGGAUCUCUAAGGACUUCUCUGCCACCCAAAUGCAUCUCUGAGAGCUUUUCUUCCUGGUGUGGCAUCCUCAUGGAUGGGGCUUGGUGGGUUUGCUUUGAAAAUAACAUGUGUCUCACUCUUAUUCCUGUGUCUUUCCAUAACCAGUGGUUCAGGAGACCUCAGAGCACCUGUAAUGAUACAGUCAAAACACAGAAGGACAGCUGGGUGAUUGAUGAGAAUCAGUAAGCUAAAUCUGAUAUUAUUUAAAUGGUAAAUUCACUUUAAAUAAAUUAUGCCUGGGAAAAGCUCAAGAACAUGGGUUUAGAUCAGUGUAAACAAAGCCUGCUGUAGCUUUUUGCUUUAUACUUUUUCUAUUUUGCAUGUUAGAGAAAAAUAAAGAUCAACCUGUAAACCAUAGUAACAUAGAGUUAGUAUUGUAUCAGGUUUACUUUGGUAUAUUGUCUUUUUUGUAACCUCUGGGUUUGGUGUAUUUAUGUUACUUGGAGACAAAAAUAACACAUAUUUUCUGUGUGUGGAUUGGUUGGUUUAAAUUCACAAAAAAAAGCAACACGUUAUUGCUUUGGUAUUGGACUCCGAGCGGAUGCUUUUCAUUAUAUUAUCUUCCUCAGUUUCAUAUAGUAUUGAUGAAAUUGAAAAUCAGUGACCUGACAAAGACAAAAUAAUACGGCAUGAAAAUUGCUACCAUGAUUUCAUGCUGUGUUAAUGCAAGGAUGUCAUUCCUGCUUCAGAAUAAUAACAGUGUUUUGCUUCUGAACUUACAGCAUCUCUCUCUCCCUCUCUUCCUCUGCCCACCCCUCCUUUUCCUUUUCAAUAGAAUUGAUGCCACUAUGAAAUUCUUUUUUAUCACACAUAUUGGUUGUUUGUUAGUGAGUAACCAGUACUAACAGGUAAUUUUUUUGAAGAAGAGAGUGGAAUCUGUGUAUUGCAUAAGCAUAUGCAGAAAUGCAGAAAGAAGCAGGCUUAACAGUCAUUAUAACAUGGCUAAUUGCAGAAUCUGGGAAUUUUUUAUAGUCAUUCUUCUUCAAAGAACCAUCACUCAGGAUGUGUGGCAGCACUCUUUGAAUUCCCACAGGUCACUGCUUGUCUUGGAAUAUGCAGAAGUGAUAUUUGCUCUCUGUUCUCAACAAUUCCUAUUUUCCUACAGGUGCCAGAAAAGACUAGAGGAAAGGCACUAAAUUCUGAUUAACACACACACACACUGAACUUGCAACGUUGUGAUUUAGUUUCAUAUUUUAUCUGGUUAGAGACCUCCUUAUUGAACCUUUCUACCUUGCCAAUAAUGGUAAAGCCUACAAAUGAGAUGUAAACAUUGCAUGAAAUGUGAGGAGGCACUUGGCAAAUCCUGCCUGGUGGGAAGCAUGUCUUUCAGGUCCUGGAUAACCUGGUCAGACUCUGCCAUCAUAAAGAGUAGCUAUGUCUCCUGUACUUCACAGAGGAGAUGGAGCCCCCUCCUCAUGCUCUACUUGCCUCAAGAAUAGAGGUCAAUUUAAAAAAAAAAAAACCAAAUAGACCUGUCCCACUCCCCCCACCCAAGAAAUAUUGCAUUCAGAGCAGGGAGCUGAAGGGCUGCUGGUACAAAAGUCUCUCUCUAUGUUUGUUUGUUCACAGUUAAAGCAUUCACCCACAAUACUUGAGGUCUGAACCAGCUCACAAUCUGUUCUCACAUACAAGGAGUGUCCUCGACCUGGGUUAUUUUAGGCAGAAAAUCAUGUAUGAUCCAGUGAGCCAGAGAGAAAAUACAUGUGAACAUGAGGCUUAGUGGUCUGUAUUCACCUGAGGGCUCCAGUUUCUAUGUUAAGGACAGACUCAGCUCUGAUGUCAGCUUCUGACACAGCAAUUUGAAGUUCUCUUCCCAGCUAGGGUAGUUCACAUGCUGCAGAAUUAUCCAGUUUAGCAUUGUCCUCUAUAACUUAAUUAUAUUCUCCAUUCUCCAUGAGGAGAAAGGAGAAUGUCCUGAUGGGUGUGGUAACCCACCUCUUUUGAAACAGAUGGGAACUGAUACCCUAUAUCAAUACCUCUGACCAUAGGAAAUAAUUCAAUCAGCCUGGAAGAGUGUUCUGACUGUUUAUGAGCUGUUUUGUAGGGUCUAAUAAGAGUUACCUCAUAUUAGCUUAACUGAAAAAAAACCAAGGACAACCUCUCCUUUAUUUUGGAAGAGGUAAUAUUGGUCAUUUCUUACUUAAGACAGAGGUUUCUGUGAAGUCACACUUCUAUUCUGGAUGCUUCUUAUUAAUGAUCAUGAAUGGUUUUUUGCUGAGCAGGUUAUUUGGCUCACCAGCUGACUUAUCCUUUUGUCAGGUUCUCUUCUUAGAAUGAUUUUCAGAAUUUUUAAUCUCUAUCAGAUAGCAUUAGGGCAAAUAUAAAAUAGGUGAUAAAAUAAUCUCCUUCCCAAAGAUAGGUUUUAUUUGCUGAAUUAAUUUUAUUCUGGAACUGAGUGUUUGAAAUCCAUCACUAACUCCUGCUUGCCUUUCAGCCUGCCUGAAGCUCUCUGUGCUUUGUCUCACUAAUAAAGCGUUGUGUGGUUCAGUUUUAUGUUUGUUUCUUAAACUGCUCUUCCCCGUUGCCACUGUUUGUUCUGGCUGUUUGGGAUUUCAGCAUCUCUUGUUUGCUCUCCUCCCCUGCUGCCUUUCCAUUCCUGCAGCCCUCUGGGCUUUUGCUGUGAACUGCCCAUCUGAUGGGUUUCCUGCUGACUUUAUCUGAUUGCUGCAGCUCUAGCAUUAGCUGCACUGAACACUGGAGCACCAUCCCUGGGCUCCAGGCUGCCUGCUGGGAGGUGCUCCAGCCACUCCAGAACCCGACCUAGCUCUGGCACUGGCUGCUAUCAACCAGGCAGGGCAAAAGGAAUUUUUUUGGUCGGUUCUUUCAUUUUUUACAUACCUAUGCCAAAGGAUUCUUCAUGUUUUUAUUUGGUUUUAUUUUAUUUUAUUUGGUUAUUUAGUUAUUUGGAGUUUGCUGUUACAGCAGCAUAGAUUAGAACUUCUUCAUUAAGAACUUUCAUGGCUUUGUGGUUUUUACUGAAUAUGAUGAGGGUUGUUUUCCCUUUGGUGAACAACAUCUUUUUUCCACCACAGAUAGAAUGUUUUCAAUGAAUAUGAUCUGUUCAUAAUUACUUGUUAUGAAAAACAGAUUUGGAUUACUGAUAGAAGCAUGAGGUGAAAAAAGAGGUAUAGAGUCUAACAUUCUUUGUGAUAGUAUUUAAAUUUACCAUAACAUUAAACCCUGAAUUUGAAUGACAUAAAUGGAUUUAAAACUUUGUGGAGUUAUUCAUUCAGUCUGGCAUCUUCUUUUAAAAUUCUUCCGCAGUUAGAAGAGAAAACUUUUUCUAAUGCCAGAUUAUAUGCUAAUAAAAUGUCACAUUUAAAACCAGGAGGUUUUAAAACCAGGUAGUUUCACAGGAACUGUGAAGUACACAGCUGGUUCCAAAGAGAAGUUGUAAUAUUCUGAUUUAUUUUGUUUAUACCUAUAUAAUUUGUCUUUCAGUUCAAAUACAAGAAUGGGCGGUAUUCAAAUACAUUGUGAAUGCAAUGGGUCAAUUUCACAUUUGGGAGAACAAGUUCAGAUAAAAAACAAGAUAUGCGUUAUUAAUGAGCUUAAUUUGUCAUUGAAACAAUGUUUCUUCAAAUGUGGUGGUUAUUUGUUGUCAGGACCCUAAAUUGCACCUGUAUAUCCUCCUAAAAUAAUCAGCAAUUGGAACAGCAUGGUUUGGUUUGAUGCAGAAUUGCUCCGAUUUUUGGUGAAUUCUAUAGAUGCUAUCUGGCUCGAUAAACAGAUUUGUUUUUUAAUUCCUGAAGGCACACUGUGCAACAGCUUUACAAAAAUUUAAAUUGGGCUACUGGGUCCCUAAACUGAGUGCUCCAGGCCAGGGGCUGCCCUGUCUCUCUCCCUGUGGGGAGGUGAAAAUCUGGGAGCAUCCCACCUCUGCGGGGUCAGAUGCAAAACAAACUCCUCUGCACAAACCCACAGCAGCUGCCAGGCAAACUGGCUGCACAGCCACGGGUAGGGUUUGCUUUUUGUUUUUGUUUUGUGUUGCUUUAGGGGCGAUUUCAAGCGGUGCUUUCCAAGAACACGCAUCAGUGGUUUUCCAAAAGCCUUCCAGAGAUCUGAACUAAUCUGCCACAGUGCACAUCACCUCCUUGUGGUAUCCCUGUGGAUAGUGCUGCUUUUCCUGCUUCCUUUUAUUAAACAUGAUGUGUUCAGAGAGGGUUAAUCCAGAAACCAUCCAUGUCUCCUGCAGAAACAACAAUAGAGAAGGUUAAUCCAGAAACCACCCAUGUCUCCUGCAGAAAUGGGAAUGCCAAUUUUGGCCAGUUACUGACAUAGGAUUUAAACAGCAAGAAGAAAAUUCUUCCUGCUUAUGAUCAGGAAGGUACCUAGCAAUAUUUUUUGGUAGGUGCAGGCUGGUCACAGCAAAUGGCAAAGUAGUAAAUCUCUUCCAGGUAUUUAUGUUUUGCUUUAGGUUGCAGAAAAUUCCACAAUUCUACUUUUUUAUUGCAUAGCUUGCUCCAGCUAGUUGCUGUACAAUUACUGAAUUAGAAAGUCAAGUGAAUUUAUAAAAUAGUGCAAAAUAGGUGUUUCUUCAUGGACACAUUUGCUUUGCUGUUGGAAUACAUGUGUAGUGAUACAGUGCUUUGUGACAUUGAUGAAUACUUGCUAUUAUAAAAAUAAAAAUAGAAGAGAUUUUUCUCCAAUUUAUUCUAUUUUAGGAUUUAGAGAAAUUAAGCUUCCUUCACUUUUAAUUGUGUUUUGCAGAGAAUCUCUAUCUCUUCAUCUCUGUGAAGCUUCUCCCUAUUAGUUCACCCACUGGCACUGGCUGGCAUGGAGCCUGUGGAGCCUGCAGUUGGCAUUCUGCAGCUCAGAGGGGUGUGCUCAGAAAGCAAAACCCAAAUUUUGCCAACGUAUGUGCAACUGGCUUUGACUCCAGGGCAGGCGAUUUGCACUUAGGCUACACAAUAAAUUGAUUUGUCAGCUCAGUGACCGACUUAAAAAUAAAUAAAUUAAAAUGGUUUCAGCUGGAAAGAAACAGAUCCCUCUUUACUCCUCCCCACUUUUGUUGUUUUUUUUUUUUUUUUUUCCCAGCAAAUUAAAGCAAGAUGCUUUUUUCGAGCACAAGAAAAAAUUAAUUCUCAGACAUUUUAGAUAAAAGUAAAAGCUAGAUUUUAGGACGAUAUAGGCUCUAUCAGAAAAGAGGUGCUGCACUUUUCUUAUGUAUAUUGGAUCAGAAGCACUCCAAAUCUCUACUGAUUUUAAGGAGAUUAUUCCCCCUCCCCGCCACUUAACUUAAAAGAAAAUGACACAACUGUGGAGUUAUAUGCUAUUACAGAAUGUUGUGCCUUUCUGUUGGAACAUCUCCACUAUGUAUUAGCUGCUUAAACUUCUCUUUUGGUCAGCAGCACAAAACUGCUGCUAAGAACAUUCCCAGCUUACUGUAUUAAUGAAUCCAAGUGCUCAGUAGAAAAGAAAUGAUAGACUGAGGGGGCAUUACCCCACAGUUCUUCAUUAUUUUGUGCAUAAGGUAUUUUUCUAAAUGCUUGAUUUGGUUCAGAGAGAGAUUAGAUUUGAAUAUGAACCUCUGAUGUUCUAAUUGUUGGUCUGCAAAGCCAGAAAGCUCCUUUUUGGGCAGAAUAUUGCAAAACUAAUAAUUGUUAAAAUAUUGGGGGAAAAUAAGAAGCAGCCACUUUGCCAUAAGCAGAUCAGUGUCUGCACCUGCCUGAAAGGAGAUUGUGGCGAGGUGGAGGUUGAUGUCCUCUCCCAGGUGACAGUUUAUAUGAUGAGAUGAAAAAGCCUCAUGCUGCACUGGAGAGGUUUAGAUUGGAUAGCAAUAAAAAUGUCUUCACUGAAAGGCUUGUCAGACAUCAGAACAAGCUGCCAAAAGAAGUGGUUGAGUCACCACCCCUGCAGACUUUUAAAAGACAUGUAGAUGUGGCCCUUGGGGACAUGGUUUAGUGGCAGUGUUUUGCAGUGCUGAGCUAAAAGCUGGACCCUUAGAGGUCUUUUCAAAUUUCAGUGAUUGUAUGAACACUGGAGUCAUACAAUCACUGAAAUUUGAAAAGGAAAAAUUGAAAAGGAAAAUUUGUGAGUCUUGUUUCUUUUGUAUUAUUUGGUGGGAGUUACUCAGUGUGGACUUGCCUUGAUUUUCUAUUUGCUUGAGUUUGGAAAGGAGAAGACACAUAGCUUCCAGACUGAGAGUUUAAUAUAUCUGAAAUGUAUGGUGAAACUUUUCUUGGUCAUGUGAGUGGUAUUAUCUUGCAUUGUUAUAAGUUUAGCAUGGUGAUAUUUUAAUUCUUGCAAAAUUCUCUACUACAUUUAUUCAUCCAGAAGAUAUUUUCCCUUUUAAAAUAGGUAAGACAACAUAGUAUGUCUCUGAAAGUAUUACUCUCAUAAAAAAUUGUGAGACAGCUCCAGAAAAUAUUCUUGAAUCUAAGCUUCAUAAGUAAAGACAGUUGUAUGGAGUAAUUAUUCUGUCAUUAUUCCUUUUAUUCAUUCCUUUGUUGAGACAAGUUAGUGCAAAAUCUUACCUGCCUGGUCUGGCAUAAUGAUUCUAAGUCAGUGGACAAGCUGUCAUGAUUUCAGUCUCCUUUUGAGAUCCUCUCUCACCAUUUUUCUGGCACUCCUAGUGCCUGGGAUGGUAUUUUUAAAUAGCCCCUGAGCUGUGCCGUUUAACACUGACAUUUCACUCAGUUUGCACAGCCUCCCUUUGUGUGACAGAUAAUUUAAACCCUGUGGCCCUGUUCCAGCAUAGUUUCCCCAUCCUCUUCAGGUGGGCAGCCCCUUACCUGAAGCCACAACCCACUUGCUGAAGAAAUCUGGUUACAUGACCUCGAAUAAUUUAUCUGCUUGUAUUUUCCCAGGAUUUGCAGAAGCAAUGGCCUUGAAGGCCAGUGGUGUAGGGAAGAGCAUCGUUGGGAAUGCUCAACUCCUCACGAUGGAGGGAGUGCUUCCCUGUGUGAGCCUGGCACUGGAUUUUUGCAGGGUAUCCUGAGACAGCUCUGUCUGCUCACAGUGUGUGAAAACCAGCUCAGGACAGCUUGUAAGGGCUCCCUCUUUCCAAAUCCUUUUCCUCCCUGCCAGAAGGUUCAGGGGACAAGAAGCUUAGGCAUCUGUUUCAGAGCAGAGCCCCAAGCAGCUUGCCCAAAAUCGUGUGUUUGUGGAGACACAUGAGUUAGAGUUUUCUCAUCCUUUGAGCAGGAAAGUGGAAGAAAGUUGGUUGGCUUUUUAAAAAUAUAAUGAUAUUUUAAGUAUAUGUCUGUCUGAGUCAUGCAAAAUCUCAGUGAUUCCCCACAGUGAAUAAUAUUGCUUAAAAAUUACCUUAAAUGUUCAAUUGUUUGGUAUUCCAAUUCUGCCUCAAACUUUUGAGGAAUGUACUUUAUUCUGCUAACUAUAUUCCCUUCUAUACUUGGUAGGCUUUAUUUUUUUCCCCUCUUUGUCUAUGUACUUAUUUGCAAAUGUUCAGUAGACUAAUUAAGGUUUCUGAAGGUUUAACCUUGUCUUAUACAGUAGAUCCUGAGACUUGCCAUGGUGUCAGCUCAGUAGGCUGGAGGGAAGGGUUCCAGAAAAUAUUGUGUAAUAUUGCCAAACAGGGCUUUGCUGCUGAAAUUACUCAUUUCACAGAGCUUAGGUCAAUGUUAAUGUGACAGGGAAGAUUUAAUCCUGUGGGAAAGUCUUUUCAUCACAUAGUUUUAAAAGAAAUUUUAUCACCUGAGUGUAAAGGGUACUUUGCUGUUUGUCUUUUACUUAAUUGUUCUUUAAUUUGUGAAAGAGAACUAUAUUUUUAAUUAAUUUCCAAACAAAAGCAAGUUAUACACUUUGCUUAUAACGGAGCACACUGGACUGAUUCUGCAUCAGCAGAGAAUAUUCCCCUGGUUUUGUGUAAAGGAAACAUAUUUCUGAAAUAAUUUAAAAAAAAAUAUAAGGGGAACCUUCCCACACUAGUUUUUUCCAAAUUGCAAGACAAUGACAGGUCAACCAGAUGCUGCUCCCCUUGAUGUCAUGGUGUGAUGCCAUCAAACAGUGCAAGCUUCUGCUGAUGUAACUUUUGUUUGAUAAAAUUGAAAACAUUUAAAAUGUCACUGAUCUCACCUCAUGGAACUAUUGCUAGUCCUUCUACUUGAGAUUUUGCACCCUAGUUCUGGAAGAUUUAUUAUUUUCUCAUAAGAGCUUCUAAUUCCAUUGUAUUUGUGAGACAGAGAUCUUCACUGGGUUUGCAGCACUAGAAAAUAAUAGAGGGCAGAAUAAUUUAUGUUUUUUGGGUUUUUAAUUGUCCAGAUAGUAGAUGAUGCCAUUACCCUGUGUUUGGGCCAAAUACACAAUAUAUACACGUCCUAGAGUAAAGAUUUGUGCCAAAAUUGCACCCUUGCCUAUAGCAUUGACAAACCUCAAAAAAUAUACAGCUAAAUCAAAACUAAAAACUAAAAAAAAUAAAACAAAAAAAAAAAAAAAAAGCAAGCAAGAAAUAAAUCCUCUUUUGUUGUAUAAUAGUGAAGAGAUGUAUCGAAAUCCAUAAAUUAGGCAGAGCUUUAAAUCCACAUAUAAUUUCAAUUACAUACAUCUGUUUCUCCUUAGGAAGAAUGAAGUGAGGUCAACAGCUAAAAAUUUUACAGCCAUAAAGAUUCUUGGAUGCUUUUAAAGCCAUAUACAUAUGUGAUUUGUAAGAAACCUAUUUAUAUGUAAAAUUUCUCAUUUGAACAUUCAUUCUUUUUAUUAUGCAAACGCAAAAUUUUUUGGAAGCUACAGGCUUCGAAGUGAAGUGAAUGCACAUAUUUCAGCCCAAUGGUAUUGCUCUAAUUUUUUUCCCUUUUAACCCCCUGUUUUUUCUGUUACCAUGAAGAAAAAUAUCUGUUUAACUUUCAGACCUGCAGAUUGUUGGGAAUAGAUGGGACAUAGAUUUUCCCUCAGAAAAGUAUGUAAAAGGUUUCUGAGUUCUUUGACAAAAAUAAAAAUUAAAACCUUAAGGGAGGUUUUUGAGAGAAGCUGGGUGAGGGAGGAACAUUAUAUGCUGGGACUCAAGGUAGAAGAUUUUUUAAAUCUUUGAAUUAUAUGUAAUUUGAUGUAUUUGAGUGGCACUUCCUUUCCUUCUCUCACCCAGUACCAGGCACAGCCUUGAACAGAGCCCAGUUCAUUCAGCUGUGACAGUCUGGUUGUGACCCUGGUGAUGUGUCAUUCAGAACAUCAUUUUGCCAGUAAUGUUAAUAAAGCUGAUGACUUUACUGAUGAGGUUUUCAGUAACACAAAACAAAAUGGAAAUGCAUUUUACAUUCAUCCUAAAUGUACAAUAUAAUGUAUUGACCCUCCUUGAGCCUGCAGUCUUUUUGAAUUCCUCAAAUAUUAAAAAGUGAGCAAGGACUUAAGUAAGCUUGCUCAACAAUAAAUCAAACAGGAAAGCAGAAUCGCUUGGAAUACAUAAUCGUAAAACCUUCACGCAUAAAAUAAAAAGCAAAAUACUGACCUAAAUUGUUAAUAACAGAAAAAGUCUGUUAAUACCUGUUGUAUAAACCCCUAAUCUUUACAGUUGUUAACAGAAACUGGAGUGCAUGCAUAAAAAACCUCUCUUCACAGCAGUGCUGUUAUCCACAUCAAUCAAGAUAAUCCCACAGUAAAACCUUGCUAAAGAAGAAAUGUGGCAUAUUUGGAUAAUGUCAAUGAUUAGAAAACAUGUCCCAGAAAAUGCCAUGCAAAACAAGUUUAAAUAUUAAUGCACACCUUCCUAACCCUUUUCAAACUGAGUCUCAAAUUAUUUACGUGGACCUCAAGGGCUGAACUCUGAUUUCACUUCCACGUGUGAAACUUAUCAAAGAGGACAAUUUUGUUCUUUAGACCACACUAUAAAUUAAGUGCCUGGAAGGUUUUCAUAGGGUGCAUGGUGUGUUCUGGAGAAAUCAUUGAAAAAGACAGAAUUACACACUAAACCUCUGUGAACAAUCAUGCCCUUAUUUUCUGCCCUAGAUUGAUGGUAAUUGAAUAUGAUUUGCACUUGCAGGUUGGCACUCAUGCACUGCUAAUCACUUGGGAAAAUACAGCACAUUGAGCUCUCGAGUGUUAUUCUGCUAUUGUUUUUCAAGGCAAUCAAAGAAUUGGCUCUCCUCGUGUGCUUAUGAGGAAGGUGGUAUUAAAAAAAUAGGUAAUUGAAAUAGAAUUAGUUCAGCUAAUUUUAGAGGGCUAGAGUUCAUAAGUCUGGAUCUUAGCUGUGAUUUCACAAGUGUGGAGUAUACUGUCUUAUAAAAUGUCUUUUUCUGUCCACAAACUCAACAAGACCUUCUUAUGCAAAGACUAUGUUGUAGCUAUCCAGAGUUGGUGAGAUGGAUGUCACCAAAAGUUAAAUUGAGCAAGGCACAUUUCUGCAGAGCUUAGCAAAACUGGAGCUUUUUGAACUUUUUGGAGCAGUGCAGCAACCAAACCCUACAGAAACCAACAGGCAUGGGAGAAACACAAAGGAAAGCAUGAACAUAGAGUGAAAAUAAUGUUCACACUAAAACAUAAAAAUUGUAUAAAAAUCUGUGUUUCAAUAGGAAGGUGAUUAACUUUGUAAAUGGAACCCAUCAAUAUUAUAAUUGUGGGAUGAGAAGGCUCACAAAGUCAGAGCAGAAUUCAUUUUUCAACAAGUCCCCAGUUCAAUUUAGCUCCAUGAAAUGUUGUGCGGCUUUAAGGAUACAGCUGAAAACCUGGAUGAUCAGCUGGGUAGCCUCACCAACUAGGAAAGAAAGUGUGAGGAAUUACACUAUGCUAAAGCUGCCUGGAAAGACCACACGCAGAAAAAACUUGGGUUGGGGUUUGUUUUAGGUUUUAAUUUUUAAGUAGAAGAAAUAUAUUAUCUCUGACCUCCUUUCUGGGAAGAAGAAAAAAGAUAUUAAAAUAUUUUAUAAUAAAAAAGUAGGAUAUUAUUUGGUACAGGAGUAAGCAUCCUACCUGUGGAGCUUCUAAACUGUGAUUAAAUAGUUUAAUUGUUUUAAUUUUAAAACCCCCAAACAACUAGGACCAAAAAUUUGUAGAGCACCUUAAUCACAAAACAGAGGAAAAUAUGAUUCUGGCAGUGGGCUGAGCUGUAGGAAUGCUGCUCUCACUUUGUGGUUCACUCUCUGGAUGUUAACAUAUGACUUAUAACAAUGACAUAUAACUCUCUUUAUGAAUAACAUGUGCUUGGCCUAGGUGGCUGCAGAAGGAUGUAGGAGCCCCAUAUCUUCAAGAACAUCCAAAAUCUGGAGGUUUGUUUGUGUGGGCCUACGCUGAUCAAAUACAACCUCUUCUAAGAAGUGGGAGUGGACAUGGAAGUACCUAACUGUUUGCUGCUGCAAGCUGAACUCAAAGAUGCUGAUGUGUGUAACUGUAGUGAUGGGUUUAUGGUAAGUAUUUGAAGCUGAAUUUUUCUUUUUUUUUUUUUUUUUUUUUUUUUUUUUUUGAGAUUUAUGACCUAUAUUUCACUUACUUGUGGAAAAGCCUUGGAGUGGUUAUGUGCAAUUCUUGUGAUUUUUUUCAGCUAUUCUGAAAUCGUAUUCUUCCGUUUUUGUCCUGUGCAGUAGGAUAUCACUUAUAAAAUAUAUUUUAGUGGUUUUUAAAAUGAUGUAGUCUUCUAUACACUACUGAAUGUUUGAAUUGUGAUCCCUUAUUGAAUUGUGCCCUUUAUUUGAUAUGUUGUCAAAUGCCAUUUCAAAUUUCUUUCUGAUACUUCAUCAGACUGAUGCUUCUUUUGUCUCUUCCAUCAUCUCUUCCACAAUUGCAACAUAGCAGUAAGAGUAACAAAGUCUGAUUUAAUAAUCUGCUUACAACAUUUCAUAGGUCAAAUAACAUCUUUUUCCCAAGACAGAACCACAUUUCUGAAAACUAAUUAGAUAUUUUGCACCAUUGAAAAAUAUAUCUUUAAAAAAAUUCUUUAAUGCUUUGGUUUUUCCAGAAAAAUUAAAGAAAAAAAUUAUCUGUGUGAUUAGGAGAAUAGUAGCCCUGAGGUUAUACUCUCCUAUCUGUUAAAAUCCAUUCCUACCAGACUUAACAAGAGCUCAACUUCAUGGCAGAAUUGAUUUGAAGUGCAUCUUCACUCUUGACUUUCUCUGUGGUGGCUCAUUUCCAUUUUCCGUGCUCCUUUGCAAUGGCAUUCUUCCAAGCUGUGAGACUGAGAAGUACAAGACCAACACUGAUUUCAGCAGGGAACUGCAGAGACAUUUGCCCUUUAUUGUAGAUGCAGAACAUAAAUUGAAUCCAGAGAGAGCAGCAUCCCUGAAAUUACCCUAGGAAUAAUUUUUCUAGAGCAGACAUUUAGAUGAUGAGCAUUGUUCCCUUUUGCUAAGCUUUUUUAAUAUCAUAGAAAGUCAAGCAUGUUCCUACUGUAAAUAUUGUAUAUCCCUUUUUUAAACAUGAUUUUUACACAAACUCUUUUGGGUGGCAAUACAAAUGCAAAAUACUUAGGAUCCAAAUUAAUUCAGAAGUAGAAGAUCCAAUUUGGAACUUUGCACAAUAAAUAACUGCUGAGUGUGGAUUUUGAUGGAGGAUAAUUUAUCAGAUAAAACUGCGGGUCAUGGUGUAUUUAAGGCCACUACUUCUAAUACUGGAUUUUAUUGUAAAAUCAAUUAAUUGAUCAAUUAAUUAUAGUCAGUCAUUUAUCAUCCUAAUGCAGACACUUUUCUCCCUCAAAGUCAGACUGUGCCUCUCUUGUAGGAGUAAUGGUUUCCAGAACACUUUUUAUUUUAUUGGAUUUGUUUGGAAAGGGAGAAGGCAGACCUCAAAGCCACACAGGCAGAAUUGAAACAAUCACUUUGCUUCCUCUACAAAGGCAAAAAUCACAGGCAAAACCUUCAUCUGCAGGGAAGGAGAUACUACCAACCUAAACUAGAAUCCUGAAUUUCUUGUUGUCCUUGCCAAAUUGAAUGUAGGGAUUGCAUUCAGAAAUAGUUUAUGGGACUUUUCACAUGAGUUAAGAGUCCAUACAGUGUUGCCAGAAUGUGUUUCUAGUAACAAACAGCCAAAAAUUCCUCUUAGUUUACACCAGCUAAGAAAGAGGUUCCUGUUUGAUUGCCAGUGUGUGGCCAAGGGACACACAUAUCCAGUGGUAUUUCAGCAGCAUGGCAUUAAACAUGGCAGUAGCCAUUCUAAAAAUCAACCACCAGGUCAAAAAUCUACAAAUUAUCUUCCUUCCCUUGGACAAGGGAAGGUUCAAAAUAGAAUCCAGAGAACCCAGAGCAAUUAUCUCAAUUUAAUAGGAAAUGCUGAUGGUAAGAAUGUGUAUGAACAACCUCACAUGGUGUUUCAUAUCCUCACCAGACUCUUUCCUUUUCUGCAAUUACUUAUUUUUCUAAUGUCUGUCACAAUGAGGCACAGCCAGAGAGGUGGGAUCAGGGGAAAUUGAAAUCUAUAUCCUCUGUGUGUCUGCUGUUUUUGUCUAGUGGAUUUUCUACAAUUACUGCUCCUUUGGAAUUUCUUCUCUUUUGAACAGUGCAAUUAAAUAUUCAAGAGGCCAGAAAGAAAAAAGAGGAGAAAUAUCUGUGAUGGGUGCAACCAAUCAUUCACACGAUGAUAUUUGGACCUAGAAUCAAACAAUUUUUAGCUGGGGUUUAUUUAUGGAGCUUCAAAUAUCUUUUUUUGAUUAUUUUUCUAUCACAGUUUAGCAUUCAUCAAUUAGCCAUCGAUAAUCAAACUUCGUGUGAUACCUAGAGGUGUAUAUACACUGACUAUAUAUAAGUUUUUAUUUUAAUUACACACCCCUCAUUUUGAUAAUGAGGUAUAUGAUUUAAUCUACUUUAAUUAUGAAUCCUUGUUUUCCUGCUGUGUUUUACUGAUCAGUUGUUUGACCAUGUAAUACAUAUAUUUCAGUUAUUUCUUUCAUAUAAGUUUAAUUGUUCCAUGUGAAUCCCAAAAAAUAAACACGCGUGAAAAAUUUAUUAAAUGUUACUGCUUCUUUAGAAAUUAUUUUCAGUGACAGUCUAGUCUGCAUUGAAGUAAUGUAUUAUUUGAUACAAUUUUCUGCAAAAACAAUAAAAAGGAAAAAGAACAGAAAUUUCCAGGCUGAGUUUUGCAAUUUUCAGAGAUGGCCAUCAUCAUGAAAGUUCUUUCUUUCCUAGUGAGAUUAUAUUAUUAGAAUCACAAAUGAAAACAUGCUUUGUACAAAUCUAAAUAACAACUAACCACGGGAUAAGUUGUGGUCUUAUUGUUCUAUAUUAACAGUAAUUCUGAUGGAGGGGAAUCAUCUGCUACUCAGGGAAUAAAAACAACUCCAUAUCUCUGUAACUUGCAAUCUCAUUGUGUGGCUCAUGUUGGACUUCUUUGCCAUGUUAUUCAUGUCUUUCAAGAAACAAUGAGAAACUCAGUAAACUGUGAAAAAGUUCCAUUAGAUAA